GUGAGGAAUAUUGGUCAAUGGGCGAGAGCCUGAACCAGCCAAGUCGCGUGAAGGAAGAAGGAUCUAUGGUUCGUAAACUUCUUUUGCAGGGGAAUAAAGUGCAGGACGUGUCCUGUUUUGUAUGUACCCUGAGAAUAAGGAUCGGCUAACUCCGUGCCAGCAGCCGCGGUAAUACGGAGGAUCCGAGCGUUAUCCGGAUUUAUUGGGUUUAAAGGGUGCGUAGGUGGUUUGAUAAGUCAGCGGUGAAAGUUUGCAGCUUAACUGUAAAAAUGCCGUUGAAACUGUCGGACUUGAGUGUAAAUGAGGUAGGCGGAAUGCGUGGUGUAGCGGUGAAAUGCAUAGAUAUCACGCAGAACUCCGAUUGCGAAGGCAGCUUACUAAGCUACAACUGACACUGAAGCACGAAAGCGUGGGGAUCAAACAGGAUUAGAAACCCCGGUAGUC
This 444-nucleotide ribosomal RNA is filed under the name uncultured bacterium. RNAcentral's name for it is "partial 16S ribosomal RNA". It matches the Rfam family "Bacterial small subunit ribosomal RNA", at positions 354 to 795 of the family's 1533-position model. The record is from RNAcentral.